RNAcentral lists this ribosomal RNA (253 nucleotides) under uncultured bacterium. RNAcentral describes it as "partial 16S ribosomal RNA". It matches the Rfam family "Bacterial small subunit ribosomal RNA", at positions 524 to 776 of the family's 1533-position model. The record is from RNAcentral.
UACAGAGGUCCCAAGCGUUGUUCGGAUUCAUUGGGCGUAAAGGGUGCGUAGGUGGCGGGGUAAGUUGGAUGUGAAAUCCUGGGGCUCAAGCCUAGAACUGCAUUCAAUACUGCCUUGCUGGAGUACUGGAGAGGAGAUUGGAAUUUACGGUGUAGCAGUGAAAUGCGUAGAUAUCGUAAGGAAGACCGGUGGCGAAGGCGGAUCUCUGGACAGUUACUGACACUGAGGCACGAAGGCCAGGGGAGCAAACGGG